Molecule: ribosomal RNA, 292 nt
Filed under: uncultured bacterium
Lineage: Bacteria
Description: partial 16S ribosomal RNA
Source: RNAcentral
GGACUACUGGGGUAUCUAAUCCUGUUUGCUCCCCACGCUGUCGCGCCUCAGUGUCAGUCACUGCCCAGCUGGCCGCCUUCGCCACCGGUCUUCUGCCGGAUCUCUACGCAUUCCACCGCUACACCCGGCAUUCUACCAGCCUCUACAGUACUCAAGUCUCGCAGUAUUCGCGGCAGACCCGGGGUUGAGCCCCGGGCUUUCACCACAAACUUACCAGACCACCUACGCGCCCUUUACGCCCAGUGAUUCCGGACAACGCUCGCACCCCCCGUAUUACCGCGGCUGCUGGCAC